CCCAAAGCUGACAGCAGUCCGUUUCUGCCAUGGCAGCGGGAGAAAGGCCUGUGAGGAGAGAGGAGACAGAGCACAGUGUGCCCCAAGAUAGAGGAAGUCUUGCUGGUGCUUGGGUGUCUGCUUUCAGUUCUUCCUGGGUGUAUCUGCAGCCCUGACCUUCCUGAGGCUAGUUCGAGUGUAUUUCUAUUAAACCGUUCUUCAUCAACGUGUCAACUCAGCAUCUUGGAGGCAAAACUGACUCUCUGCUCAUCUCUCUAAAUCUAGAAGUCUGACCAGCAUUCUCGAUCAGGGAGUGAAGGACCAACUAUCAUCUACAGAAUCAGGACUCUGCCCAACACAUAGUUCCCUGGGACUCUGGAAAUCUGUCCAGAGUUUUGUAGAGUGAAGUUCCGAGCACUCCCUUCCGAGUGUGACACCUCCACCUCCUACCUCCCACUGGGUGACGUCCCAAGAUGGGAUUUAGGAUAUCUGCUUUAUCUCUCUAUGUCCAAGUUCCAUAGGUCUAAUGUGAGAACCAGGCUCUCUGCUUCAUAGGAAUAAUGUUGAUAUUUAGUGAAAUGGUUUGGUAAGAAGGGCUAGCCCAGCGCCAGGCACAGAGGAAAUAUCCUGUGAAUGGAAAUUAAAAGCUGCCAGGAGGA
This is a long non-coding RNA of Marmota flaviventris (yellow-bellied marmot), 638 nucleotides long. RefSeq lists it as uncharacterized. The record is from RefSeq and is a predicted model, not a curated record. NCBI's taxonomy places the organism in Eukaryota, Metazoa, Chordata, Mammalia, Rodentia, Sciuridae.